Cucumis sativus (cucumber) is the source of this 598-nucleotide long non-coding RNA. RefSeq lists it as uncharacterized. The record is from RefSeq and is a predicted model, not a curated record. The transcript has 3 exons. NCBI's taxonomy places the organism in Eukaryota, Viridiplantae, Streptophyta, Magnoliopsida, Cucurbitales, Cucurbitaceae.
CCCCUUUUCCUUCCCCAGAAGAAAGUUCACUCACAGUAUGUUCAUUCAGCUGUUGUGAUUAGUUUGUAGAAUUGAGAGGAGCAUUGCCCAUGGUUUAUCUUUUUUGGUUCAUCAUCAAAAACCACCGUAGCCGAUCGUGGGGAUCCUAACGAUCCCCGAGUAAGAUUAAAACGUGAUUGCGUUGGGAUUAUGGCUGCUUUCAAACUUGGGCAGCCUUUUCAUCAUGUUGUAAUUCUAGCCAACACCCAUCUUUGUUGGUAAAAUUGGAUCCAGAAUGGGCUGAUGUGAAGCUCGCUCAGGCUAAGUAUCUUUUAUCACGCCUAGCUCGAUUCAAAUCUUUAGUUGCUGAAAAGUUUGAAUGCACACCCUCAGUACUUUUGGCUGGCGAUUUCAAUUCAACCCCAGGAGAUAAGGUUUGUAUUCUAUCUCGAUUUAUCAUUUGCAUUGAAUUUCCUCUUUCUGAAGAUAUGGUAUAUAGCUAUUUCAUUGUUAUUAUCAUGUCUAAAUUACAAGUUUAGUCCCUUGAACUUUGUGUCUCCUUGAUUGCUUAACUUUCCAAAAGUGUCUAAAAGAUCUGCAUGCUUUCAAUUUUGUGUAA